AAUCCGUAGACGUUAAAAGUCGUGAGGAUUCAAGUCCCUCUAUCCCCA
This 48-nucleotide transfer RNA is filed under the name Pelargonium havlasae. RNAcentral's name for it is "partial tRNA-Leu". The record is from RNAcentral. Lineage: Eukaryota; Viridiplantae; Streptophyta; Magnoliopsida; Geraniales; Geraniaceae.